RNAcentral lists this ribosomal RNA (422 nucleotides) under uncultured microorganism. Its description in RNAcentral is "bacterial SSU rRNA". It matches the Rfam family "Bacterial small subunit ribosomal RNA", at positions 9 to 429 of the family's 1533-position model. The record is from RNAcentral.
GAGUUUGAUCUUGGCUCAGAUUGAACGCUGGCGGCAUGCCUUACACAUGCAAGUCGAACGGCAGCAUGAUCUAGCUUGCUAGAUUGAUGGCGAGUGGCGAACGGGUGAGUAGUACAUCGGAACGUGCCCUGUAGUGGGGGAUAACUAGUCGAAAGAUUAGCUAAUACCGCAUACGACCUGAGGGUGAAAGUGGGGGACCGCAAGGCCUCAUGCUAUAGGAGCGGCCGAUGUCUGAUUAGCUAGUUGGUGGGGUAAAGGCCCACCAAGGCGACGAUCAGUAGCUGGUCUGAGAGGACGAUCAGCCACACUGGGACUGAGACACGGCCCAGACUCCUACGGGAGGCAGCAGUGGGGAAUUUUGGACAAUGGGCGAAAGCCUGAUCCAGCAAUGCCGCGUGUGUGAAGAAGGCCUCGGUUGUAAG